AGGUGAAGAUGACUUUCAGGAUAUAUCGAAAGGCCCACGAACGGAGUAGACGCAUGGUACUGUCCGUUGUCUGGGAGUGCAGAGUAUACUGGAUUCACUUUGGUAUCAUAGCACACUCCUAAGGGACAGCAUGCGCCAGCCAUCUCAUCAGGAACUCGACUACAUCAGUCAACAAGUUUGUUAUGGCUGGUAGAAGGAACAACAAUGAGUUAGGUGGUCAGAACAACCAGUUCUUAGAAGGAUUUACUGCACUCCUACAGGAGCAGAACCAUAUUCAUGGGGGGCAGAUUCAACAACUAUUGCAGGCUAGAGAACAGGAGAGCACACCUAGACGUCCUACACCUAGCGUGCACUCGGUCUACAAGCAAUUUCGGGAGUUAGGACCGACGAAGUUCAAAGGCACCACAGAUCCGAUUAUUGCAGAAGGAUGGAUUCGAUCUCUGGAGAUGAUAUACGACUUCAUGUAGCUCACUGAUGCAGAUAAGGUCAGGUGCGCAAUAUUUAUGCUGCGAGAUGAUGCACGGGUAUGGUGGGAAGGUGCACGGUUGACGGUGGACUUGGCCACAUUGACAUGGGCGAAUUUCAAGGAGGUAUUCUACGAGAAAUACUUCACCCCUGACAAUAGGACACGGUUGGCAAGGGAAUUCUUGGAACUUCGUCAGGGAGAUCUGAUGGUUGCAGAGUAUGCCAGAAGGUUCGAAAGGGGACGUUACUUCGUACCCAUGAUCGCCAGCCAACUAGUUGAGGAGUUGAAGCACUUCACUGAAGGAUUGAGAGCAACCAUUCGCCAUGACGUCAGACUGAGCCGGGUCACCACAUUCAGGGAGGCAGUUGACCAGACACUGAUGUCUGAAAGGGACAGAAAUGACAUGGUCAAGGAAGCCCAGAACAAGAGGUUGAGCUAUCAGGGAAGGGAACAACAAGAGCCGGGCAAGAAGAAGUCAAUUUCUAGCCAAUAUCCAGGCAAGCAACCACUUAGACAGGCACAACCACGUCCUCAGUUUCAAAAACCACAACCAGCUGAAGGUACUACUUCUAAGGUUGAGAACAAAGUCCGGUGCCCCAAGUGCGAGAAGAUACAGGCUGGACAGUGUCUGACGGGUACCGAUGUCUGCUAUAUGUGUAAGAAGGUAGGACAUUUUGCUAGGGACUGCCCACAGCUUAAGGAGCCAACCAAAGGGAGAGUAUUUGCUAUGACACAGGAGUAGGUGGAACUAGACACAGCUAUCAUCACAGAGGCCUAUCCAUUUACUGUCGAAAAGAUCAGUAAAUUGAGAGAGGAAGUGGAGAAUGCUAAGAAGGAUCAAACUCUUCGAAGUAUCUUAGUUUCAUCUUCCCAUGACUACUUGAUCACAAAUGAUAGAUCUAAGGUUUUUGUUUCAAAUCUCAAAGGAAAAAUAGUGGCUUUGUACAUCUCAUGCAAUAGGGAUUGUUGCAGUGAGUUCUCUCCAAUACUCGCACAAAUCUACAAGAAGCUCAAGGAAAUUGGAGAGAGCUUUGAUUUUGUGCUAGUGUCCUUGGAAGACGACGAAUCCUAUUACGAUGAAGCCAUAGAAAACAUGCCCUGGCUUGCAUUUCCUUUCAAUGACAAAAGUUGCGAUAAGCUUUUUUGCUAUUUUGGUCUCCAGGAAUAUAAAUGCUCUACUGUCAUCUUGAUUGGAUCGGAUGGGAAAACUAUGAAUGUAGAUUUAAUGAACUUAUUAAAGAGUAUGAAUUUGAGGCAUGGGAAGCAUUCUCGUUUUCUCAGGAGAAGUUGCAUGAGUUGUCAGAAAAAGUAAAGGCCAGACUUGAGUCACAGACACUCGAGUCACUUCUUGUUUCGGAUGAUCUUGAUUAUGUUAUUGGAAAAAAUGGAUUGAAGAAUAUUCACCAUGUUGGUCAACCAAUGCUUGGUGAGGAGCAAGAAGAUAUAGUCAUAACCAGUGCCCAGAAUAACCUAUUAAAUAUGAAGUGCCCUUGGACAGGAAAGCCUGUUACAGAAUUACAAAAUCCUGUCCGCUGGUAAAAUAGUGCUUCACUCUUUACCAAAGUUUUGUAGUUAUGUUUUUAUCCAAUAUAAAUUAAAAUUUUCUAAUUUUUUGUUUGUUAGUAAUGAAAGAUGAAAACAUAACGGUCAAGUGAGAUUGUUUCAUAUGUACAAAGCCAUUUUUUUUCUUUGUGAAUGAACAAAUAUUAAACGGUUCACAAGUUAACUAAAAACAACUAUUUUAAGUGAACUUCUUUCUUAAAAUAUAGAGCUUGGUUUCUUUGGAAAUCAUGUUCCUUCUUGAACCAUAUUCAAUUUGGCAUGAGUCCUUAUUUGAUUAGUUGCGAACUAUGAAUUUGUGUGCAUUGUAGAAUACAAUGUGAGAUAUGUUAAUGUCGUAGACAACAUUCCCUAGCUUUCUACUUAUAUUUCAUUCUAACAACUCAAAAAAUCCUUUUAACAUAUUCUGUUGAUUCAAUUGUUCAUGUUCCUUGAACAAUGCUUAAUGUAUAUUUAUUUAUAAAGUGAUGAAGAAGCUUAUGACUAGUCUGUUUCACAUUUUUUUUUGUUCCCAAGCAAAAGGUAUGUUAUUAUUAUUAUUAAAGUCAUAAACCGUGUUCUUUCUAUCUGUUGUUCUUCAUCAAGCAAGAUGGACUACAAGCAUAUUUAUGAGAAGGAACCAGUAAUCCACUACAUAAGCAGAAAGAAACCACAUCCUCGAUGCCCAGCUGUAGGUUGCCCAAAAAUUCUCCAAGUUGGACGAGUUGUAUGCGACGCCUUGCUUAUAAUAGAAAUUGAUGAAAUGCAUUUGGCAUCAGCUACAAACAUAAAUUCAACAAUGGUAGAAGAUUUUUACAGAAGUUGACUGAAAAUGGAAACACUACUCCCUGCAACUGUAAUCUUGAUAUAAUUUUUCAAGGUGAUUUAGCCUCUGUCGGUGAUUUGUCAUCAGCCAAUGCAAUUUAGGCAUCAUAGUUAAUUAUCUUUUGAUGUUGUAAGAGGAAUAUUUGUGUAAUUUGUGG
Long non-coding RNA from Zingiber officinale, 2988 nucleotides. RefSeq lists it as uncharacterized. The transcript has 7 exons. The record is from RefSeq and is a predicted model, not a curated record. Lineage: Eukaryota; Viridiplantae; Streptophyta; Magnoliopsida; Zingiberales; Zingiberaceae.